Molecule: non-coding RNA, 167 nt
Organism: Vicugna pacos (alpaca)
Lineage: Eukaryota; Metazoa; Chordata; Mammalia; Artiodactyla; Camelidae
Source: RefSeq, a predicted model, not a curated record
ACUGUCACGGCACCUGUGGGCAUGUUAUUCAUCAUGCUAAUACGUUACUAUGAGCAUAUGAUGAGGCUCAAGUUCUACUAGAAGUCAUAUCUCCCACCAUUUUAAUCCUCAAGGCCUAGUGGGAGUUGAAUCUUCCUCCAUUUUGUUAUAAUUACUGUUUUUCAUUG